Molecule: long non-coding RNA, 214 nt
Organism: Cyprinus carpio (common carp)
Lineage: Eukaryota; Metazoa; Chordata; Actinopteri; Cypriniformes; Cyprinidae
Exons: 4
Source: RefSeq, a predicted model, not a curated record
GAAAGCCAACAUCAGAGCUUUAGAGACGUGACUGAAGGAACAACAGAAGUUUCAUCCUGGAAGAGCUGAACAAGAAAACUGAUGCCUUAGAGACACAACUGAGGGAACAACAGACGGUCAUCCUGGAAGAGCUGAACAAGAAAACUGAUGAAAUUUCUAAUCUUACCGAGAGUCAAGUGGAGGAGCUGAGAAAGGAAAAUAGAGACAGAGAGAU